This 1617-nucleotide ribosomal RNA is filed under the name Triticum aestivum (bread wheat). RNAcentral's name for it is "partial small subunit ribosomal RNA". Lineage: Eukaryota; Viridiplantae; Streptophyta; Magnoliopsida; Poales; Poaceae. The record is from RNAcentral.
AUGGACAAUCUUGAUUGGUUAGGCCUUCGUGUCUAUUACAAUGGUGAAUUUGAAUAUUCAGAGAAGUGUUGCUCUUACAUUGGUGGUUCUGUUGAGGUCACUUUUAUGCAAAGGGACAAUUUGUCCUUAGCAUCUGUCAGGGAGCAGAUUGCAGACAUAAAGAUGGCAUACCAUGGUGAGUCUUUGAUAGACAAUCAUAGGCUCUACUGGCUGUUUCCUGGAAUGAAUGUUAGAGAUGGGCUGAGAAGGUUAGAGACUGAUGAAAAUGUGUAUUUUAUGGAGAGAUGCAUUACAGAUGCUGGUGUUGUGGACAUAUAUGUGAACUUGGAAACUGAAGGUGGAGAAGAACAAAAUGAAGGAAAUGUAGAAGAGCAACAAGAGAACACUGAAAAUCCUGGAACUGAAAGUCAUGAAGAGCACACUGACAGUGAUUGGCAAGCAGAGCAUGAAGAGGGCCUAGAUGAUUGCUCUGAUGAGGCUGCGGAUGAGCAUGAGCAUGAGGAUGCUGCUGGAACUGCAGCAAAUGUGAAACCUGAAGGUGGAGAAGAGAUCAAUGCAGAAAAUAAAGAAGAGGUUGCUGCUGAUGAAUGUGAAGACCUGGAUUGGUGUCCUAGAGAUGCAGAUAGUUCAGGGGAAGAUGAUGAAGCAGAGGAGCUGAGAAAGCAUGCUAACGAAGUGCUUACAAAGAUAAGGAUGAACUUGCCACUUGAUGAAGAGAAGGAGAUCAAGGAAAAUACAGCACAGUUAAUCCUUGUAGAUGAAAUGGAUGAGGGAAAUGACACUCCUUACAUGGAUUCCAAUGAGGAGUACAGUUAUGAUGGGGAUGAGUUUGGAAAUUUCAUUAGGAGGGAAACAAGAUUUCCAAGAUUUGAUAGCAAGGCUGCAAUUCCUGUCUUUUGCCUUGGCAUGACAUUUAGGGGGAGAAAACAGUUCAAGAAGGCUGUUGUGAAAUAUGGUCUAGCAGUGAAGAGACAAAUUACCAUCAUAAAGGAUGAGGCUAAUAGGAUUAGAGCAAAAUGCUCUUGGCCUGAGUGUCCAUGGUUGAUAUAUGCUGGACAUAGGAGCUCUAAUGACUGGUUUCAAGUGAUCACAUUUGUAGACAACCACAUAUGCCCCCAGAGGAGAGACAACAGAUUGGUUACUGCAGCUAGAAUAGCAGAUAAGUAUGAGAUAAUUAUGAAGGCCAAUCCUGGAUGGAAAAUCAAAUCUAUCAAGGCAACUGUCAGGUUGGAGAUGUUUGUAGAUGUGCAUGUCUCCAAGAUAAAGAAAGCAAAGGCAAUUGUGAGAAGAAGAGUUAGAGAAGCAAUGCAUGAAGAAUAUGUUAGGGUUUUUGAUUAUCAACUAGAAAUAUUGAGGAGCAAUCCAGGUAGCACUGUUGCAGUAGUGCUAAAUCCAAAGGAAAGUGCCCCUGUUUUUCAGAGAUUAUAUGUGUGUUUCCAUGCUUGCAAAAGAGGUUUCAUAGAAGGUUGCAGGAAAGCUGUAGGAUUGGAUGGUUGCUUCUUUAAAGGAGCCCAGAGUGGAGAACUGUUGUCUGCUCUUGGGAGAGAUGCCAAUGGGCAAAUGUAUCCAAUAGCCUGGGCUGCUGUAGAAGUUGAGAACAAAGACUCUUGGUUCUAG